GACAGAGGGUGCAAACGUUGCUCGGAAUUACUGGGCGUAAAGCGCGUGUAGGUGGACCAGCAAGUCAGGCGUGAAAUCCCUAGGCUCAACCUAGGAACUGCACCUGAAACUUCUGGUCUUGAGUGGUGGAGAGGAAAGCAGAAUUCCUGGUGUAGAGGUGAAAUUCGUAGAUAUCAGGAGGAACACCGGUGGCGAAGGCGGCUUUCUGGACACUUACUGACACUGAGACGCGAAAGCGUGGGGAGCAAACAGG
Molecule: ribosomal RNA, 253 nt
Filed under: uncultured bacterium
Lineage: Bacteria
Description: partial 16S ribosomal RNA
Rfam family: Bacterial small subunit ribosomal RNA
Source: RNAcentral